GUAAGGAACGACCCUUAUAUAUGUUUAAUUCUCUUUUUUAUUAGUUUUCUGUCAAGAUAGCUUGUUUGGUGCAAAUAAAAGAAAGGGCAUGAUGAAGAUUAACAUCGCAACGUGCGCUGCACUAAGUAGGGACGCGUCUGACGAGAACGCGCAUCGAGAGAGAGCGCGUGGAGAGAGAAUAAAGCAUUCGCAUUGGCUAAUUUCGCCAAGUAGACCAAUCAAUUUUCUCUGUGUUGAUGACUGUGUGUCAGCACUAUGGUAGUUUAGACGAUAAACAAUUAAUACUUAUUUAAUUUGUCUUGCCGUUCCAGGUGGAGUUUUCUGGAGGGUUAAUGAGGGUUAAAGAAAUACAAAUUAAUAAUGUUAUACGCCAAAUGGCGUUCAGACAAUAGCACCGCCAGCAGGUGAUUAAGAGAAACUACAUGCAAUUUUUGUUUGCAAAAAACACCUUUUCUUGGAUGAGAUUGUUGCUUAACAGCAAUUAUUGUUCCACUCACUCACUCACACACUCAGUUCAGUUCCAUAGCAACCUACUAACCCUCUCCAUGGUUACCGACAACACUAAGAAGUAUUAGGUUCAUGCAGGUGCAGGUAUGCAGACUUCCAAUGUGUUCAAAGUCUACGCUGACAGGAGGUCACUGAACGACUACCAUGAUGAUGUGACUUUGAGCUGAAAACUACUACAGUAAGAUGAACAAGGAUAAAAAUGAGCCCCAGCUUUUCCAAGCUGCAGGGGUCCUGAGGUACAGUCGAGAGUCUGACAAGCCCAGGGUGAACUUGGCUACUGUCCUAUCAGAGCCCUCACCAUUAGCCAAAGACGAAAUCACGUGUGAA
Molecule: long non-coding RNA, 834 nt
Organism: Cynoglossus semilaevis (tongue sole)
Lineage: Eukaryota; Metazoa; Chordata; Actinopteri; Pleuronectiformes; Cynoglossidae
Exons: 4
Source: RefSeq, a predicted model, not a curated record